RNAcentral lists this long non-coding RNA (2599 nucleotides) under Salmo salar (Atlantic salmon). RNAcentral describes it as "lncRNA (ENSSSAG00000083358.1)". The record is from RNAcentral. Lineage: Eukaryota; Metazoa; Chordata; Actinopteri; Salmoniformes; Salmonidae.
CGUGAAGACCUGCCCAGGGUCAUGUCCUGCUAACACACCAGGACACCGUGAAGACCUGCCCAGGGUCAUGUCCUGCUAACACACCAGGAUACCGUGAAGACCUGCCCAGGGUCAUGUCCUGCUAACACACCAGGAUACCGUGAAGACCUGCACAGGGUCAUGUCCUGCUAACACACCAGGAUACCGUGAAGACCUGCCCAGGGUCAUGUCCUGCUAACACACCAGGAUACCGUGAAGAUCUGCCCAGGGUCAUGUCCUGCUAACACACCAGGAUACCGUGAAGAUCUGCCCAGGGCACGCAACAGAAAAUGGUUUGAUACGGAAAACAAAAACAUAAUUCUUAUUGGACAAAUCUUGGCAGUCUCUUUCUCUUUCAAUCAUGUUUUCUUCCUCUUGGUGCCCAUUGAACACGACCCAGAAUACCACCAGCAUUGUUAAUUCCCAGUGAUGGAUGGUUGACAGACACUAGGAUGUCCUUUUCAUCGUCUGCUGUCAACUCUAAGACUAGCGAACAGAACUCUGACAAAUCGUGUUUGAUCUCAAUUGACGAUCACACAUCUUGUGUGUCCCCAGAUGGAAACGGUCAUGUUUCGUCAUCUCAAAGUUUGAGAUUUUGUACAGAAGUAUCCCGAUGGUCUUGUAUGCAUACAUUAUUCCUUUUUAGUCUUCAUUUUCUACUGAGCCAAAGUACUAUAUAGAGAUAGAGAUAGAGAUAGAUAUAUAUAUAUAUAUCUCUAUCUCCUACUACAUCUGACUUAUCAGUCUUACCAUGAGUCACUACUAUUCCAAUCCCUGUGUAUCUCCUUUGUAGCACUGAUCUCUACAGUAUUUGUUUGUUUGUCUAUCAGUAUUAUGAUGCGUGUGCAGCGUUCUGGCGUAAAAUGGCUGCCGUCCAGCACCCAGUUGGAUGCAACACAGAAGUUUACGAUGACCGACACAAAAUAACUGUAAAUUCAUUGAAUUCAUCCUCUUCAUUUUGUUGUUUUUUCAGGUUGUAUUUUUAAAGGGAAAUGGGGGGCAAAAUGGAUGUGCAAUGUUAUAGUUCUGUUACACUAUGCAAUUUGUGAUCUUUAUGUACUGUACUGCAAAGUAGAGUCGAUGGGAGGAUCUAAUCAUAUACACAGCAUUAAAGGUGUCUAUUAACUGUACAGACAAGACAGUACACAGAAGACGAAUGCACAAUUAUGCACUGACAGUAUCGCCGAUUUCUUCCCUGACAGGAUGACUCUGGAAGAACUGUAAAAAAAAAAAAAAGAGCCUCUUGUACCCUGCCUUUCACUUUAGUUUUUUUCUUUUUCAGAUCUAACCGUCGAUUCUAGAAAGCGUUUGGAACCACCGUAGAUUCUAGAAAGCGUUUGGAACCACCGUAGAUUCUAGAAAGCGUUUGGAACCACCGUAGAUUCUAGAAAGCGUUUGGAACCACCGUAGAUUCUAGAAAGCGUUUGGAACCACCGUAGAUUUUAGAAAGCGUUUGGAACCACCGUAGAUUUUUUUGGGGUGAAUUGGAAUUUGCUUCGUCCUAUAUUUUCAGAAUACAACUAUGUAUAGAUUUGACCCUAUUCCAGACUUCCCCAGCAUUCUAUGUCAUAUGAACUCCCUAUUCAGUAAAGUUGUUAAAGAUCAAUAAAAUAAAAGUGUAACAGGUGAAUUUGUGGUUUUGCCUUCCCUGACAACUGCCCUUUUUUAAGUGUGGAUUCUGCAGUUCUCUCACUGCAUAAAGAUACUUUUAUUAGUCAGUUGUUUGCUGGUUUUUACCAAAUGACAUGGUGUGUGUUUCUGUGCAGGUUAGAUGGUUGGGCAGGUCCCAUUCAAAACAAGACAACUACAAUAACCAUAUUACAAACAAUAUGCAAGCGCUAUCAUAGAACAUUUUUCCUUUUAAUUAUCGUUGUGUUUAAAUGUCAUCCUUUUCUUUUCAUUGUUAAUGCAUGAGGUCCCUGAAGAUCUUUGUUCAACCAAGUGUUGUUUACUUCAAGUUCAUGUUUAAACGACAUUUUGUUACUUGUGAGGUACAAUGUCGUCACACCAUGAAGAUAAGCAAUACUAUCCUGGGGCCAGGGAUAAAUGUCUGUCCCCCAUGAACUAUAUGUGUGUAAAUUGCUUUCCUUGAGUAACUACAGAGGUAAUAUAUUUUUGUAUUCUAAAUGUAGACUAACUCAAAAUAUAAUCACUAAACAAAAAGAAAGGUGGAAUUAUGCAUAGUACAUCGUUUCACACCCCACUAGACAGCUUGUAGUUAUUGAAAUAUGAGACACUAGUGAUGAAGGACAACAUGAGUUUGGUAAGGAGAAGAAUGUAUGGAGUGGAGUUUCACUGAAGGUCUGCUGUUCUGGCUAUGAGUACAGUGUAAAAGCACAACGAUGAAAAGCUAUCCUGCAUGUUUUCAAAUCCACUAUUCAUAAGUUAUCUAUUCAUCCCUGUAAAUAUCGUUUGACCUGUACUAUGCACUCAUUUUUCUUUCAUACUAAUUCAUGUACCAUGUCUGGAUAGAACCCUGUAUUCAUUCACUCAUUGUACUGUUUGCUAAAAAAACAUUUUUUUCUCUAUCCCCAGAUAUUUUGAGAACCAAUAAAUGUCAUUUCUAAUGAUCCAUUUCUUG